RNAcentral lists this ribosomal RNA (289 nucleotides) under uncultured bacterium. Its description in RNAcentral is "partial 16S ribosomal RNA". It matches the Rfam family "Bacterial small subunit ribosomal RNA", at positions 157 to 445 of the family's 1533-position model. The record is from RNAcentral.
UUUGGAUUAAUCCCCUAUAACAUCAUUUAUUCGCAUGAUUAAAUGAUUAAAGCUUCGGCGGUAAAAGAUGAGCAUGCGUCCUAUUAGUUUGUAGGUGAGGUAACGGCUCACCUAGACUACGAUAGGUAGGGGCCCUGAGAGGGGGACCCCCCACACUGGUACUGAGACACGGACCAGACUCCUACGGGAGGCAGCAGUGAGGAAUAUUGGACAAUGGACGAAAGUCUGAUCCAGCUAUGCCGCGUGCAGGAUGACGGCCCUACGGGUUGUAAACUGCUUUUAUACAGGA